This 300-nucleotide signal recognition particle RNA is filed under the name Callithrix jacchus (white-tufted-ear marmoset). Its description in RNAcentral is "Metazoan signal recognition particle RNA (ENSCJAG00000081633.1)". It matches the Rfam family "Metazoan signal recognition particle RNA". From Rfam's summary of the family: The signal recognition particle (SRP) is a universally conserved ribonucleoprotein. The record is from Rfam by way of RNAcentral. Lineage: Eukaryota; Metazoa; Chordata; Mammalia; Primates; Cebidae.
GCCGGGCGUGGUAGCACGUGCCUGUAGUCUCAGCUACUCGGGAGGCUGGGAUGGGAGGAUCGCUUGAGCCCAGGAGUUCUGGGCUGUAGUGUGCUAUGCUGAUUGAGUAUCUGCACUAACUUCGGCAUCAACAUGGUGACUUCCUGGGAGCGGGGGAUCGCCAGGUUGCCUAAGGAGGAGUGAACUGGCCCAGGUCGGAAAUGGAGCAGGUCAAAACUCCUGUGCUGAUCAGUAGUGGGAUCGAACCUGUGAACAGCCACUGCACUCCAGCCUGGGCAACAUAGUGAGACCCCAUCUCUA